UAUAUGGGCGCUCCGAAGACAGCAGGUGGAUUUGUCCAUAAAUCCUGCCGAGGACAACAACAAUAUUCAUGAUUGUUUUUGUGCCCGUGCGUCUUUUGAUGCAGGGGUUUUCUUU
Molecule: small RNA, 115 nt
Filed under: pig gut metagenome
Description: Ribosomal protein L10 leader
Rfam family: Ribosomal protein L10 leader (bases 13-115)
About the family: This family is a putative r-protein leader autoregulatory structure found in B. subtilis and other low-GC Gram-positive bacteria. It is located in the 5' untranslated regions of mRNAs encoding ribosomal proteins L10 and L12 (rplJ-rplL).
Source: RNAcentral